UACGGAGGGUGCAAGCGUUAUCCGGAAUCACUGGGCGUAAAGGGCGCGUAGGUGGUCUGUUAAGUCUGGCGUUAAAGCCUGGGGCUCAACCCCAGAUCAGUGUUGGAUACUGGCAGGCUAGACGGUUGGAGAGGCGAGUGGAAUUACCAGUGUAGCGGUGGAAUGCGUAGAUACUGGUAGGAACACCCAUUGCGAAGGCAGCUCGCUGGACAGCACGUGACACUGAGGCGCGAAAGUGUGGGGAGCAAACCGGAUUAGAUACCCG
RNAcentral lists this ribosomal RNA (265 nucleotides) under uncultured prokaryote. Its description in RNAcentral is "partial 16S ribosomal RNA". It matches the Rfam family "Bacterial small subunit ribosomal RNA", at positions 524 to 788 of the family's 1533-position model. The record is from RNAcentral.